CAAUAGCGUAUAUUAAAGUUGUUGCAGUUAAAAAGCUCGUAGUUGGAUUUCUGGUGGGAGCGAUCGGUCUGGCGCUUAGCGCGAGUACUUGCAUCGUAUCCGGCCAUCCUUGGGGAGAGUCUGUCUGGCAUUAAGUUGUCGGGCAGAGGAUCCUCAUCGUUUACUGUGAAAAAAUUAGAGUGUUCAAAGCAGGCUUAUGCCGUUGAAUAUAUUAGCAUGGAAUAAUAAGAUAGGACUUUGGUACUAUUUUGUUGGUUUGCGCACCAAAGUAAUGAUUAAUAGGGACAGUUGGGGGUAUUCGUAUUCCGUUGUCAGAGGUGAAAUUCUUGGAUUUACGGAAGACGAACUACUGCGAAAGCAUUUACCAAGGAUGUUUUCAUUAA
This 383-nucleotide ribosomal RNA is filed under the name uncultured eukaryote. Its description in RNAcentral is "partial 18S ribosomal RNA". It matches the Rfam family "Eukaryotic small subunit ribosomal RNA", at positions 592 to 976 of the family's 1831-position model. The record is from RNAcentral.